UGUUAUAUAUGACCAUGAUAUGUAUUUUCUUUCUCCUAUAGAAGAAACCAUAUUAUCUUCUAAAUAUACUAGUAUGUGAUAUUUAUUUCAACAAAAUUUCAAGUUCUCGAGUCACAAAAUUUCUACUUGCAAUUGUUUAGGGUUUUCUUUUGGCCAUUGCAUCCGCUAUUUUAGGGAUUAUUUAAAUGAUUGAUUUAACCAAACCAUUUGAUAAUAUUUUGUAAUGGAUUGUGUGUCGCUGACUGCAAUCCUGUAGAAGAUAUUUGUAAAAUCCUGUUGAAGCUUAUCCAUCAUAUAUUUAUAAGGAGGCUAUUGAAGGGAGAACAUGUCAAUAGAUAUCUUCAUAUGGAUGUUAACAUACGAAGGGUGUCUUGUAACAUUUGUUUUGAGGCGUGUCUUUUCAUUAGGUUCUCUUCCCACUCUUCUCGUGAGAUUUAUUUCACUUUAUUGUCCAAUCCUCUGUAAUAUUGAAGUAGUUUCCCACUUUUAAUUAUCCACGCUGUCAGUCCAAAUUUUCUUGUUAGAAUGCAAAUUUGAAGUGCCAUUAUUCAUUCCCAUGCAAUACAUAAGUUCACUAUUUUGUAUGGCUUACGGUAUGAAAGGUUGGAUAAAUAACAUUAUCCAUACAUAAGUUCACUAUUUUGUAUGGCUUACGGUAUGAAAGGUUGGAUAAAUAACAUUAUCCUUGUGUUCGUAA
Ziziphus jujuba (common jujube) is the source of this 697-nucleotide long non-coding RNA. RefSeq lists it as uncharacterized. The record is from RefSeq and is a predicted model, not a curated record. The transcript has 2 exons. Lineage: Eukaryota; Viridiplantae; Streptophyta; Magnoliopsida; Rosales; Rhamnaceae.